Molecule: long non-coding RNA, 356 nt
Organism: Pleuronectes platessa (European plaice)
Lineage: Eukaryota; Metazoa; Chordata; Actinopteri; Pleuronectiformes; Pleuronectidae
Exons: 7
Source: RefSeq, a predicted model, not a curated record
CCGUACCUGGACAUUGGACACUCUGUACACGUAGCUCACAGCCUCUCUUCUGGCCCCUGGAGAGAGCUUGGUGUGGAUGAUGUCCAGGGCCUAACAAAGCAAGAGUUCUCCAACAACUGCGGCGUGUUUGUUUUGAUGUACACUCUGUACAUUGUAAUGGGGGCCAAGUGCGAUUUCAGCGAGGAAAACAUGCUGCAAAUUAGGAGAUGGUGGUGUCUCACUCUCCUGCAGAACUUCCCCAUGCCGUCUGAAGAAGACCGAUUGCAGGACAGGAAACGGCGACGAGUGGAAGGAGGGCUACAGACGCUGGGAAAUUGACAAACUGCAAACCGGGAACAGGGUUGGAAGGAUGGUGA